RNAcentral lists this ribosomal RNA (502 nucleotides) under uncultured bacterium. RNAcentral describes it as "bacterial SSU rRNA". It matches the Rfam family "Bacterial small subunit ribosomal RNA", at positions 103 to 673 of the family's 1533-position model. The record is from RNAcentral.
CGGGUGAGUAACGCGUGGGCAACCUGCCCUCCAGUUGGGGACAACAUUCCGAAAGGGAUGCUAAUACCGAAUGCGGAAGAUGGGCCCGCGUCUGAUUAGCUAGUUGGUGGGGUAACGGCUCACCAAGGCGAUGAUCAGUAGCCGGUCUGAGAGGAUGAACGGCCACAUUGGGACUGAGACACGGCCCAAACUCCUACGGGAGGCAGCAGUGGGGAAUCUUCCGCAAUGGACGAAAGUCUGACGGAGCAACGCCGCGUGAGUGAUGAAGGUCUUCGGAUUGUAAAACUCUGUUGUUAGGGACGCGGUACCUAACGAGGAAGCCACGGCUAACUACGUGCCAGCAGCCGCGGUAAUACGUAGGUGGCAAGCGUUGUCCGGAAUUAUUGGGCGUAAAGAGCAUGUAGGCGGGCUUUUAAGUCUGACGUGAAAAUGCGGGGCUUAACCCCGUAUGGCGUUGGAUACUGGAAGUCUUGAGUGCAGGAGAGGAAAGGGGAAUUCCCAG